RNAcentral lists this ribosomal RNA (1636 nucleotides) under Escherichia coli. Its description in RNAcentral is "partial 23S ribosomal RNA". It matches the Rfam family "Bacterial large subunit ribosomal RNA", at positions 165 to 1827 of the family's 2925-position model. Lineage: Bacteria; Pseudomonadati; Pseudomonadota; Gammaproteobacteria; Enterobacterales; Enterobacteriaceae. The record is from RNAcentral.
CAUAGGUUAAUGAGGCGAACCGGGGGAACUGAAACAUCUAAGUACCCCGAGGAAAAGAAAUCAACCGAGAUUCCCCCAGUAGCGGCGAGCGAACGGGGAGGAGCCCAGAGCCUGAAUCAGUGUGUGUGUUAGUGGAAGCGUCUGGAAAGGCGCGCGAUACAGGGUGACAGCCCCGUACACAAAAAUGCACAUGCUGUGAGCUCGAUGAGUAGGGCGGGACACGUGGUAUCCUGUCUGAAUAUGGGGGGACCAUCCUCCAAGGCUAAAUACUCCUGACUGACCGAUAGUGAACCAGUACCGUGAGGGAAAGGCGAAAAGAACCCCGGCGAGGGGAGUGAAAAAGAACCUGAAACCGUGUACGUACAAGCAGUGGGAGCCUCUUAAUGGGGUGACUGCGUACCUUUUGUAUAAUGGGUCAGCGACUUAUAUUCUGUAGCAAGGUUAACCGAAUAGGGGAGCCGAAGGGAAACCGAGUCUUAACUGGGCGUUAAGUUGCAGGGUAUAGACCCGAAACCCGGUGAUCUAGCCAUGGGCAGGUUGAAGGUUGGGUAACACUAACUGGAGGACCGAACCGACUAAUGUUGAAAAAUUAGCGGAUGACUUGUGGCUGGGGGUGAAAGGCCAAUCAAACCGGGAGAUAGCUGGUUCUCCCCGAAAGCUAUUUAGGUAGCGCCUCGUGAAUUCAUCUCCGGGGGUAGAGCACUGUUUCGGCAAGGGGGUCAUCCCGACUUACCAACCCGAUGCAAACUGCGAAUACCGGAGAAUGUUAUCACGGGAGACACACGGCGGGUGCUAACGUCCGUCGUGAAGAGGGAAACAACCCAGACCGCCAGCUAAGGUCCCAAAGUCAUGGUUAAGUGGGAAACGAUGUGGGAAGGCCCAGACAGCCAGGAUGUUGGCUUAGAAGCAGCCAUCAUUUAAAGAAAGCGUAAUAGCUCACUGGUCGAGUCGGCCUGCGCGGAAGAUGUAACGGGGCUAAACCAUGCACCGAAGCUGCGGCAGCGACACUAUGUGUUGUUGGGUAGGGGAGCGUUCUGUAAGCCUGUGAAGGUGGCCUGUGAGGGUUGCUGGAGGUAUCAGAAGUGCGAAUGCUGACAUAAGUAACGAUAAAGCGGGUGAAAAGCCCGCUCGCCGGAAGACCAAGGGUUCCUGUCCAACGUUAAUCGGGGCAGGGUGAGUCGACCCCUAAGGCGAGGCCGAAAGGCGUAGUCGAUGGGAAACAGGUUAAUAUUCCUGUACUUGGUGUUACUGCGAAGGGGGGACGGAGAAGGCUAUGUUGGCCGGGCGACGGUUGUCCCGGUUUAAGCGUGUAGGCUGGUUUUCCAGGCAAAUCCGGAAAACCAAGGCUGAGGCGUGAUGACGAGGCACUACGGUGCUGAAGUGACAAAUGCCCUGCUUCCAGGAAAAGCCUCUAAGCAUCAGGUAACAUCAAAUCGUACCCCAAACCGACACAGGUGGUCAGGUAGAGAAUACCAAGGCGCUUGAGAGAACUCGGGUGAAGGAACUAGGCAAAAUGGUGCCGUAACUUCGGGAGAAGGCACGCUGAUAUGUAGGUGAAGCGACUUGCUCGUGGAGCUGAAAUCAGUCGAAGAUACCAGCUGGCUGCAACUGUUUAUUAAAAACACAGCACUGUGCA